This 215-nucleotide ribosomal RNA is filed under the name uncultured bacterium. Its description in RNAcentral is "partial 16S ribosomal RNA". It matches the Rfam family "Bacterial small subunit ribosomal RNA", at positions 28 to 243 of the family's 1533-position model. The record is from RNAcentral.
GACGAACGCUGGCGGCGUGCUUAACACAUGCAAGUCGAGCGGUAAGGCCCUUUCGGGGGUACACGAGCGGCGAACGGGUGAGUAACACGUGGGUGACCUGCCCUCAGCUCUGGGAUAAGCCUGGGAAACCGGGUCUAAUACUGGAUAUGACUCCAUGACGCAUGUUGUGGGGUGGAAAGCCUUGUGCGGCUGAGGAUGGGGCCCGCGGCCUAUCG